This 378-nucleotide ribosomal RNA is filed under the name uncultured bacterium. RNAcentral's name for it is "bacterial SSU rRNA". It matches the Rfam family "Bacterial small subunit ribosomal RNA", at positions 523 to 898 of the family's 1533-position model. The record is from RNAcentral.
AGACGUAGGGCGCGAGCGUUGUCCGGAUUUAUUGGGCGUAAAGAGCUCGUAGGCGGCUUGUUGCGUCAGCUGUGAAAGCCCAUGGCUUAACUGUGGGUUGGCAGCUGAUACGGGCAGGCUAGAGUUCGGUAGGGGAGACUGGAAUUCCUGGUGUAGCGGUGAAAUGCGCAGAUAUCAGGAGGAACACCGGUGGCGAAGGCGGGUCUCUGGGCCGAUACUGACGCUGAGGAGCGAAAGCGUGGGGAGCGAACAGGAUUAGAUACCCUGGUAGUCCACGCUGUAAACGUUGGGCGCUAGGUGUGGGGGGCCUCUCCGGUUUCCUGUGCCGUAGCUAACGCAUUAAGCGCCCCGCCUGGGGAGUACGGCCGCAAGGCUAAA